This is a long non-coding RNA of Suricata suricatta (meerkat), 1516 nucleotides long. RefSeq lists it as uncharacterized. The transcript is spliced from 3 exons. Lineage: Eukaryota; Metazoa; Chordata; Mammalia; Carnivora; Herpestidae. The record is from RefSeq and is a predicted model, not a curated record.
GCCCUGGCCAGACGGGACCCAUGGCUGAGCCAAUGCAUGUGGGGUGUUUUAGAAGCCAGUGACAUUUAAGGACGUGGCCGUGGACUUCACUCGGGAGGAACGGGGGCUGCUGGGCCCCACACAGAGGAUCCUAUACCAUGAAGUGAUGCUGAGGAACUACAGCAACUUGGUGUCCCUGGGACUCCCUGCAAACUAGAUGUGCUCUCCACGCUGGAGCAGUGGGAAGACCCCUGGACUAUGGAGAGAGAUGUCCUCAGAGGUCCAGCCCUUAAGAAUGUUUCUUCUUCUGGCCUCAACUGCAAGAGCCCCGCUGAAAGCCGCAGAUUUGCACUGUCCAGUCUGACAGUUGCGCUUCUGUCCGUCCUCCCCAGAUUGGCCGUACACAUUCAGGUUGGAUCCUGAGCAUCUUUCUUUGCUUGUGCUUCAGGCUCGGAGCCUGGGCCCUGAGCUGCAUGGCUGCCUCCAGACAAAGGUGCUCUGCCCCAGGGGCAGAUGAAGAUGAGACUCAGCGGGAGGGUUUCUGGCACACCGUGCCCAGGGGAGUCCCAGAAGGCCAGGUGGCAGAAAGACACUGCCAAGCAGUGACACUCAGCCAAGGGGAAGAAGAGCCCAGAGUGGAGCCUUUCAGGAACUUUGCUCUGGCGCUCGUUCCUCAUGGAGCAUCAGCACAAUCCCCCAGGGGCACAGAUUCCACAAGCCACAUUGGCAAGCAGGGCCUCACCUGUGUUUCAUUCCUAGCUCGGGGUGCCCCUGCCAAGGACAGAGUGUGUGUACGGAGGCCCUUGGCACUUUCCCAGACCUUAGUCACCCACAAGGAGUUCACACUGGGAAGGCCACAUUCGAGUGUGGUGGGUGCGAAGAUGACUUCAGCAAGAAAGCACGCCUUGCAGGCUAUCAACGGAUUCCCACGGAAGCCCUACACAUGCGAGGAGUGUGGGAAGGCCUCUGAAGAGCACGCAUCUCGCUCAACACCAGACAAUCCACACUGGCGAGAAGCUAUACACACGGUGGCAGUGUGGACAGGCCUUCAGCAAGAACUCGUCCCUCGUUAGGCACCAGCGCGUCCACACCGGGGAAAGCCCUAUGCGUGUGGCUACUGUAGCAAGCGCUUCCGAGGGGACUCAUCCCUGGCCAAGCCCCAGCGGGCGCACCGGGAGAAGCCACACGCCUGCGGCAAGUGCGGGUGUGCCUUCAGCCGGAGCACUUGCCUCGUGCAGCCCCAGCGAGUCCACACUGGGGAGAAGCCGUUCACCGGUGGUGAGGGUGGCAGAGCCUUGGCCGACUCCUCGGCCCUCCUGCUCGCCACAGAACCCGCGGGCAGAGCUGCCCCACGAGCCCCGCACGUGCUGCCAGGCACUCAGCGUCGCUCCUCCCUGGCUGACCACGAGCACUGGCACACGGGGGAGGAGCUGUACACGUGCUGGGAAUGUGGGAGAACCUUCAGCGGAGCUCGGCCCUCGGCAGGUACCUGGGGACACACUCAGGUGAGAAGAAGUGACUGUGGCCGCGCCUUCAG